UAAACGACUCUCGGCAACGGAUAUCUUGGCUCACGCAUCGAUGAAGAACGUAGCAAAAUGCGAUACUUGGUGUGAAUUGCAGAAUCCCGUGAACCAUCGAGUUUUUGAACGCAAGUUGCGCCCGAAGCCUUUUGGUCGAGGGCACGUCUGCCUGGGCGUCACAC
RNAcentral lists this ribosomal RNA (164 nucleotides) under Senecio ruwenzoriensis. RNAcentral's name for it is "5.8S ribosomal RNA". It matches the Rfam family "5.8S ribosomal RNA". From Rfam's summary of the family: 5.8S ribosomal RNA (5.8S rRNA) is a component of the large subunit of the eukaryotic ribosome. It is transcribed by RNA polymerase I as part of the 45S precursor that also contains 18S and 28S rRNA. Functionally, it is thought that 5.8S rRNA may be involved in ribosome translocation. The record is from RNAcentral. Lineage: Eukaryota; Viridiplantae; Streptophyta; Magnoliopsida; Asterales; Asteraceae.